RNAcentral lists this RNase P RNA (322 nucleotides) under Thermococcus gorgonarius. Its description in RNAcentral is "RNase P RNA component". It matches the Rfam family "Archaeal RNase P". From Rfam's summary of the family: Ribonuclease P (RNase P) is a ubiquitous endoribonuclease, found in archaea, bacteria and eukarya as well as chloroplasts and mitochondria. Lineage: Archaea; Methanobacteriati; Methanobacteriota; Thermococci; Thermococcales; Thermococcaceae. The record is from RNAcentral.
GCGAGGGGGUCGGGGGCUCUCGGGGUGCUCCCGAGGAAGUUCCGCCCACCGCACCGGGGCCGCGGUGCCGCAAGGCACCGGCCGAGAGGCCGGGCAACGGCGCAGAAACGACACGGCCUCCGGGGGAUGUGGAUGACGCGUGCGAAGGGCCCGGCGACGGUGCCCGAGCUAACCCGCGGACUAUCCCGGAGGAUGCGGUGAAACGGCCGUCCCGCGGGGUGCAAGGCCGAGAGAGGGGCGAUGAGUUCCCGGUGUGAGCCCCGUGGUAGGCCGCUCAGUCGAAUGCCCCCUUGAUACAGAAGGCGGGCUACGGCCCCCUCGC